GAUUCUGCCUGACGUGGACGCUUGCCUUAAAGAUUAAGCCAUGCAAGCUAGCGAAGGUUGAACCGGAGCGGCGAACGGCUCAGUAGGACAGGAAUAUCUGGCCAUGCAGGAUGGAUAACCGCGGAAACCUGCGGCUAAUACGAGCGUGGAUGAGUUCCUGGCCUAUCAGCUUGGCGGUACGGUAAGUGCGUACCGUGGCGAUUACGGGUAACGGGGAAUCGGGGUUUGAUUCCGGAGAGGGAGCCUGAGAGAUGGCUGCCACGUCUAAGGGCGGCAGCAGGCGCGAAACUUACCCACUUGGAGGACCAGAGGUAGUAACGAGGCGUAAUUUAUGAGGUUAUUCUAAAUAUAUAACCGAAAGCAACUAGAGGGCAAGUCUGGUGCCAGC
RNAcentral lists this ribosomal RNA (388 nucleotides) under Microsporidium sp. group C. RNAcentral describes it as "SSU rRNA". It matches the Rfam family "Microsporidia small subunit ribosomal RNA", at positions 10 to 397 of the family's 1311-position model. The record is from RNAcentral. Lineage: Eukaryota; Fungi; Microsporidia.